Molecule: non-coding RNA, 50 nt
Filed under: unclassified sequences
Description: S15-Flavobacteria ribosomal protein leader
Rfam family: S15-Flavobacteria ribosomal protein leader
Source: RNAcentral
UAUCUUUGCGCCCGAUAUACAUAAUAUUCAUUUAAAAUAAUUUUGGCAUG